UACCAGCACCCCGAGUGGUCGGGACGUUUAUUGGGCCUAAAGCAUCCGUAGCCGGUUCUACAAGUCUUCCGUUAAAUCCAACUGCUUAACAGGUGGGCUGCGGAAGAUACUAUAGAGCUAGGAGGCGGGAGAGGCAAGCGGUACUCGAUGGGUAGGGGUAAAAAUCCGUUGAUCCAUUGAAGCCACCAGUGGCGAAGGCGGCUUGACCAGAACGCGCUCGACGGUGAGGGAAUGAAAGCUGGGGGAGCAAACCGG
RNAcentral lists this ribosomal RNA (255 nucleotides) under uncultured bacterium. RNAcentral's name for it is "partial 16S ribosomal RNA". It matches the Rfam family "Archaeal small subunit ribosomal RNA", at positions 474 to 727 of the family's 1478-position model. The record is from RNAcentral.